AUGAGUUGUCUCAGGUUGGACAAGAAACGGAAAUUGAAACUGACAAUGCAACUGUUGAAGAUGAAGACAAGAACUACAYCAAGUUCAAGGGUCAAACUGAGGACCAAAGCACCAAAACUGUACGGUACCUUGAUGUAGUACCAUUUGCUGAAGAAACACCCCUCCAAAAGUGGGCCUUAAGGGUGUCAACUGUGUUAGUAUUGUGUGUGAUGGUCUUCCUGUGGGUGUACUAUAGAUAAACAACUACAAAAUGAAAACAAGUGUGAAACAUUUUGAACAUAUGUAAUAUAUUUGAACUUCAACUAUCUGUUAGAUUGUAUGUUGUAAAAAUUUACCUAUUUUGGACAAUAAUCCAACCGACUCACACAUGUUGUCCAAAUACAGUAAUACAGUACC
Molecule: long non-coding RNA, 396 nt
Organism: Exaiptasia diaphana
Lineage: Eukaryota; Metazoa; Cnidaria; Anthozoa; Actiniaria; Aiptasiidae
Exons: 2
Source: RefSeq, a predicted model, not a curated record